This 5214-nucleotide long non-coding RNA is filed under the name Nicotiana benthamiana. RNAcentral's name for it is "long non-coding RNA (NBEN_LNC030747)". The record is from RNAcentral. Lineage: Eukaryota; Viridiplantae; Streptophyta; Magnoliopsida; Solanales; Solanaceae.
GAAUACAAUCUCAAUGAACUGCCUGUAAUCAACGCCUAGAACAGACGUGUCUAGGAAAAUUCCUCCCCCACUUGGAGCAUCAGAUAUGCUUCCUACGCGGAAUCCACCAACUUUGAAGUAGUCAAGAAGCUUGAGAGGAGUAUCAAGUGGCACAAACGACACACUGUUGACUGCAUAUCUCUGUUUGCCAUUCACUUGACCAGCAGAACUAGCAAGUCUGAUGGUUCGGGUUGUGUUGAUCAUACCAUAAUGGUAUGAACCUUGUGGAUUCGGCCUUGGUCCACUUGCUGAUAAGUUUGUCCUAUACAUAAUCAAUAACCAGGUUAUAGGAACAGUUAAUGCUCAUCGGCUACUUUAAUCAGCUAAGUCAAACAUGCUCCAAAUAUGGGCUCAGUAGAAGUUGGUCAUACCUGAUGGAUCGAGCCUGGUUAAGGGACCAGUCGAUUUGGAUGGUAGGACCACCAGGAGGAGGACCGGAGACGGGGGUGUUAGAGUUACUAUAAUGAAGUACACCGGUGGUAGUGAGGACCUGAGACGUGAAACGCGAUGAAACAACAAUGUAGUGAUCUUUAGCUUCUUGAUCAGCUGUAAUGAGCACAGAGUAGGUUUGGCCAACAUGAACAUCAAGUGAAGAAUAGGUAGUUUGCAAUUGUGAAACGCGAUGAAACGACAAUGUAGUGAUCUUUAGCUUCUUGAUCAGCUGUAAUGAGCACAGAGUAGGUUUGGCCAACAUGAACAUCAAGUGAAGAAUAGGUAGUUUGCAAUGUGUGUGUUCCUUCUACUUCAACUAAUUUCAUCUUGUGUCCUUCAAUACGGAAGUUCAGCGAAUUUUGUAAUCCAACAUUGGAUAUCCUCAGUCUAUAAGUUUUCCCUGUUAUAAGAAAAACUCAUAGUUAGAAUUUUCAGAUAUGUGAUGACAUUAGGCUAUGAAUUUUCACAGAUUUUAGUAACCGAUAUUCCUCAAUUUUUUUACCUUGCUCGACUGUGAAAGAAACACCAUUAGGUCCACGUCCAUUGAUAAGAAUGCCAUCAGGAAAAGGUAACUUUUUUCCUCCAUCAAGAAUUGCUUUCAACGCCUGUAUAACAAGAAAUUCAAAUAAUAAUUUUGAGUUUCUAUCACUGAAUUCAAGUGUGUGUAUAUAUAUACAAAAUAAAACUUAUUUUUUACUUUUAGUUUAUUUGGUAUGAUGGAUGCAUGAGUUGAGCUUAAACAGGAAGUGACCCCGACAUGUUUGGAACGAAGGCCUAAGUUGCUCCGACAUGGCAGUUUAGGUGUCGCACUCGUAUCGAUAAUGACACUAGUAUAGGUGUGGGUAUAGGAUCCGUACUGGAUCUAGUCAAACAAUUGAGUAUUUUGACCAUGACGGACGGAAAAAUUCGAGACGAGAUAGUUGUUGUGGUUGUUGUAGUUUCUAUCACUGAGCAAUGGCUAUAUUUUUAUUUGAUUUAACUCAACUCAAACUUAUAUAUCCACAUUUCUUUUUCCAAAACAAUAACCUUGGCUUAAGUAUUGAAAUGUAAAACUUAGUUAACAAGUCUAGGAUCAGAUGAACAUUACAAAACCAUACUUCUUUUUGUAAUUAAAGUAGUUUAUUGAUUUCAAUCUUUCUUACUCUGCUCAAUGAUGUUAGCUCAGUAUAAGAAGUUUGGUUUAAAAGUACGACCCAGUACAAUACCACUCAGUGGUGUCUGGGGAGGGUAGUGUGUACGCAGCCUUACCCCUACCCUGGGGUAGAGAGGCUGUUUCCAANNNNNNNNNNNNNNNNNNNNNNNNNNNNNNNNNNNNNNNNNNNNNNNNNNNNNNNNNNNNNNNNNNNNNNNNNNNNNNNNNNNNNNNNNNNNNNNNNNNNNNNNNNNNNNNNNNNNNNNNNNNNNNNNNNNNNNNNNNGACAAGCUCACCAUCAGACCAAGCACCUCUUGUCAAAAAAAAAAAGCUAUAAUUUCCUGUUCAUGUCUCCUUUGGCGCCCGCAAUAAUAAAAGAUUUAGUCAAGUACAGACCCAGCAAGUAAUGGCCCACGAGAAAAAGCACACUAUAUUCCAAAAAUGCAACAAGCCAAACAACAUUACUACUUUACCUUACCGACACUCAAGACAUUAGACAAAACAAACCCACUUUCCACAUAACUAUUUGUACAUACAAUAUGCAAGUGUCUCUAUGUACUUGCAAAAAUUAAAUGCAUUUUAACAAAUUAAAUUUUAUAGAUCGAUAUAAAGAAUACUGGCUAUUUGUACAUACAACAUACAAGUGUCUCUAUGUACUUGCAAAAUAAAAUGCAUUGUAACAAAUUAAAGUUUAUAAAUUAAUAUAAAAAAUAUUUACACUAUCAGAUUAUUAAAAAGAUAAAAAGCAUACCGUGUGGUUUUUCUUAUACCAAUCUCCGAUGAGGACGGUGUAAUCGUCUGCGGGAUCUGGGAAAGGAACGGGGAUUCUUGGUCUGCUGAGAAUUUUAAUUCCUCCAAAACCACCAGCAGCUUUGUGAAAUGCAAGAGAAGGAAAAUAGUAAUAACUUCCUAUCUGAUCUUUCAUUUGUAGAAUGUAUGUGAAAUUCUUUCCUGGUGGUAUUGGGCAUGUUGUACCAUAUACUCCGUCUUCAAAUGAGUUUCUCCUGUUUUGUAUUCCAUUCCUACAUAUAUCCAAAAAGUCAAUUUAAAUCUUUAAAUGAGGUAAUUCACAAAAUGUAAUAUAGUAGAAGGACAUUGAUUUAGCUAAUAUUUAAUAUUUAACAAGAUUGUACGGUCAGGAAAUAAUAGAAAAAAAACAGCUGAAAUGGACAAAAGCACGAUCCUCAAAAAGACCAGAGAAAAAAAGAUGUACUCUAUUUGAGACAGAAUAAGCAGCAACUUUUCACAUGCAUAUCACAUGAUCUACCGACUAGUUACAUUCAAUCUAAUAUUUCAAACACUCAUAAUUUGUUCAUCAGACCAAAGUAACCAUGUGUUUUAAAUAUAUAAUGAGAAAAAUCCACGUUAUUUUAAUUUAUGUUUUUCUUUUGCAUUCCGUAUUCGAAAUUGACUUGCUCAAUCAAAGGCGGACCUAAAGUUCUACCGUCGCUGGAACAUAUAAAUAUUAUUUCAGUAAUACAAAAUUGGUACUGGGAUCAAUGCAAAUAUUAAAUUAUUUCAUGAAGACGUUUACAAGUAUACAUGAAGUUUUUGCUGAAGUUUUUCAGUAAUCUAUAGUGUGUGCUCGACUGAUAUGAAUUUAUGCUGAAAGUCAUAGGAAUAAAACACUCUUCGAUAAAAAUAUGUAUAUUUUUAAGAUUCGAAUUUGAGAUCAAAAAACAUUGUUGCUUACAUCGUUAUUUAAAAUGACUAAUUGGAAAAUAAUUUGGAAAUAAUUAUUCAGCUGGAUAAGUGACUAAAAUGUGCCCAAAAAUCACUAAAUAUGAUGCGUGGCGUAUAAAUUUAGACGUUGAUGUCAAGCACCAUGUGGUGCUUUCUAUUUUAGUUGUUAGUUGAAGCCAGCAGUGAGCAAGUGGUGAACUUGUCUUCAAAAUCCUACCUAAACUACAAAAUUACUAAUUCCACGCCAAAUUUUCUGCAGCAGUAAAGUUCAUUGUCACCUAAUCAAUCGAUUUUGAAAUCAAAUCUACUACUUGUAUGUCACUUGUUCUAGUUUGAACUUAUUCUCUACCCUACUAUUCUACAAGAGAUUGAAAUUACACAAGUCAAAUUGUUUCUUUAUAAUAAUCAGCUAAAUGAGGAGGAAUCAAAUGAAAAGAAAAACGUAUAUCCAACUAGACUCUGUUUUGCUAGUAUUUGGCCAGAGUGUACAAUUUUCGAUUUUAACCACAUUUGCAUAUUUAAACAAUUUUUAGAAAAAUGUAGAUCUAUACUAAUAUCCAUUACCACAAACUAGCAGUAGCUAUACAAAACAGUUUAUAUCCACUAAUUUAAGAAUCUCCACUCUGCCUCUAAUAUUAAAAGGGUGACGGACGUAUACUAAUACAUGAUCUAGAGUCAGGUUUGAAAUACGUCUAUCUUAUUGACUAUAUACAUUUCAAUUUUUUUGCUUAUAAGUAUUUAGUUCGAGCCAAAAGUAAUAACUUAAAUAUCUCGUCCUAAAACUGCCUUUAAUUAAGCUAGCGUUUGGACAUAGAUUUAGUUGAAAUUUGAAAAAAUAAUUUUUAAAAUAGUUUUGACAAAUAAUUUCAACAAUUAUGUUUGGAUAUCCAUUUUAAUUCAAAAAAAAUUUGAAAUAUUAUAAGUGGGUCCAAAAUCUAUCCUAAACUAGAUUUUAAAAACUUGAAAAAUAAUUUCAAAAUCUUUCAAAAAUAAAUUAUUAAUCUAUAAACCAAUAAUAUUUUCAAAAAAGAUUUAAAAAAAUUACCAAAAUGUAUGGCAAAAUUGGGCCUAAAGAGUGAGAUCUGACUACAGAACCUUUUUAGCUAGACACCUACCUAACUAGAUCGAAAAAAUUAAAAAAAAUACACCUAAAACAAUGGAAGCGAAACGGACAUGAGAAUUGUAAAUCCUCGAGGCAAAUUAUUAUAUACAGUCAUAGCUCCCUAUAAUAACAUAUUUGUAUAAUAUAGAUUCACUAUAAAUACAAAAGUUUCAAAACUGAUUUUUAUAUUAUAUUAUAAUAUAUAUAUUCUGUAACAACACUUUAGUAUAACAACCAUAAAAUAUGAGAAUACACGAAGUUCGUAUAAAGAGAUUUAACUGUAUAUAGAGGAGCGCUGGUGUUCUGAUCCUUGGUUUUGGUGAAUAGAGAUUCAGUAUUGAAUUCAGGACCAAAAAUGUAUUCGAAUCGUAAUAUUUCAAAGACCAGCAUUAUCAUUUUGACACGUGAUAUAUUAUGUACUACUAAUUACUUAGUUAAGGUUUAAAAUGUGAGAAAAUGGAAGAUUUGUAAAUUACCAGGAAAGAAGAAAAGGUUCGUCCAAGCUGUUGAAAACGUUGAUAAUGAGAUUGUCAUUAGUAACAGAGUAAAUAUCAGGUCCAGGAAAUUGGCCAUUGAUCAAAAUUCCCUACACAAACAGAAAAAAAUUACCAUUUUAUGAUCAAUGAUCAAAACAACCCAAAAAAACACAGAUCCAGACGAGAAAAAAAAACACAGACACACAUUCUAUUUUAAGAAACUGAGGAAAAGAAACUAACUUGUUGAGGAACUCCAAGAGGAUAAAUAGUGCCAUAAGUAACAUUCCACUCAAAGAAUCUAUAAGGAUCUUCUGCUACUGUAUUCACAACUAAUCCUACCACUAAAAAUG